CGAACACGGAGAUAGCUGGUUCUCCCCGAAAUGUAUUUAGGUACAGCGUUAUGAAAUACUUUAUGGAGGUAGAGCACUGGAUAGAAUAGGGGGCGUAAGCUUACCAAACCUAACCAAACUCCGAAUACCAUAAAGAGUAUCAUUGCAGUGAGACCGUGGGGGAUAAGCUCCAUUGUCGAAAGGGAAACAGCCCAGAUCGCAGGUUAAGGUCCCAAAGUAUAUGCUAAGUGUUAAACGAAGUAGGGUCGCCCAGACAGCCAGGAGGUUGGCUUAGAAGCAGCCAUCCUUUAAAGAGUGCGUAAUAGCCCACUGGUCAAGGGGCCCCGCACGGAAAAUAAACGGGGCUAAGCAUAUCACCGAGACCGCGGGAUCUAAUUUAUUAGAUCGGUAGGGGAGUGUCGUUAAAGCGUUGAAGCUGAGUUGUAAGACUUGGUGGAGUUUUAACAAGUAAGAAUGUUGGCAUGAGUAGCAAAAAUGCCGGUGAGAAUCCGGCAGGCCGAAAGUCUAAGGAUUCCUACGCAACGUUGAUCGGCGUAGGGUUAGUCGGUCCUAAGGCGUAUCCGAAAGGAGAAGUCGAUGGAUAGCUGGUAAAUAUUCCAGCACCUUUAAAUAAUUGUUUGAGUCAAAGAGGUGACGUGAACAGAUAAGCAGAGCAUACGUAUCGGACAUCGUGUGUUUUUGACCGUAGGAGAGUAGAGAAGGUUAAAAUAUUUUCUAUGUUUGAUCUGAGGAGAAAGAAAACUAUGAGGUUAGCCUCGUGGGAUUCUGCCGAUUCUAAGUCGCCUAGAAAAACCUCGUUGAUUAGAUUUUUUGAAGACCGUACCGCAAACCAACACAGGUAGACAGGGAUAAAAGUCCCAAGGCCUUCGAGAGAACCAUCGUUAAGGAACUCGGCAAAUUGACCCCGUAACUUAGGGAGAAGGGGGACCUUAAGUGUAUAUGAGCUAGCCUCAAAAAGCACAUAAGGUAGCAUAAAAUAGGCUGAAGCGACUGUUUACCAAAAACACAGGUCCAUGCCAAAGCGAAAGCUGAUGUAUAUGGGCUGACGCCUGCCCAGUGCCGGUAGGUUAAGGAAAGGAGUGCAAGCUCUUGACUGAAGCCCCGGUGAACGGCGGCCGUAACUAUAACGGUCCUAAGGUAGCGAAGUCCCUUGUCGGGUAAGUUCCGACCCGCACGAAUGGCGUAACGACUUGAACACUGUCUCAACGAUGGACUCGGUGAAAUUGCAGGACCCGUAAAGAUGCGGGUUACGCGCAGCAGGACAAAAAGACCCCGUGGAGCUUUACUGCAGCUUGACAUUGGUUCGAGCUUUAACCUGUGUAGGAUAGGCGGGAGACUAUGAAUUAGAUGCGCCAGCAUUUAAGGAGUCGCCCUUGAAAUACCGCCCUGAUUACAGUUUGAAUCUAACUUUUACUAGAACAGUGUCUGGUGGGCAGUUUGACUGGGGCGGUCGCCUCCCAAAGAGUAACGGAGGCGCACAAAGGUCACCUCAGGCUGGAUGGAAAUCAGCCUUAGAGCGUAUUGGUAUAAGGUGGCUUGACUGCGAGACAUACAAGUCGAGCAGGGACGAAAGUCGGUCAAAGUGAUCCCACGGUAC
RNAcentral lists this ribosomal RNA (1597 nucleotides) under marine metagenome. RNAcentral's name for it is "bacterial LSU rRNA". It matches the Rfam family "Bacterial large subunit ribosomal RNA", at positions 834 to 2429 of the family's 2925-position model. The record is from RNAcentral.